RNAcentral lists this long non-coding RNA (12337 nucleotides) under Fragaria vesca (wild strawberry). RNAcentral describes it as "long non-coding RNA (FVES_LNC003341)". Lineage: Eukaryota; Viridiplantae; Streptophyta; Magnoliopsida; Rosales; Rosaceae. The record is from RNAcentral.
UUUCUUUUUUUUGUCGUUAGUCGUUCGAGAGCCUGAGAAGGGAAGGGAGUGUCGAGAUAAGAUGGGUUCCGAGGUCUGUCUCAGGUGUCGGGUUGUCGCCGGGAUAAUGGACUCGGUAGAGCAGGUGUCGUGAGUCACUGAGACUCGCUGACGAUGCCGGGAAGUCACCGAGCAGAAGUCUCUGGGUCUAUGAUGGGAAGCCGGGUGUAGUGAGGCCUUGUGAAUUUGUCGAGGUGAGUAGUCGAUAGCGGGAUGGCCUUAAGUCGAGAAACUGUCAAUUUCAGGACCGCCUUGGGGUGAGAAGCUGGGACGCGGCGAACUCGCCUCGAGAGCCUGGUUUACGAAUUUGUAGUCUGUGGUUCAUGGAUGAGUGAUGGAGAUCGAGCCCAGAUUUGGGUGCCCAAAUAAGUUUAUGGGUUCACUAGCAGUCGGCGCGUGAGACACUUCCGGGCAGCGACGGCUAAAGGAGAGGUCAGGUUAGACUCGUCGGAGGUCUCUGAACCCAAUUAUGGUGGAGGUAAGGGGCGGUGGCGCCUCUAAAUCAUGGGUGGAGGAGAGAAUGAAAACUCAGAUCUACUUUCUCUCUCCUCUGUAAAUAGGAACCCAACUGCGUAAACUUGAAAACCCAGAAGAGAUAAGGUUUGAUUUGAUGCCAUGGAGGUGGAAAUCAAAGAGAGAAAUGAGAGAGGAGAGUUCUUUGAGAGUGAGCAGAGAGAGCUGCGUCACCGAAGAGGAAGAAACAAGGGUGGCUGGAAAAAAAAAUACGGCGAGAUAAUGGUUAGAGUACCCGUUUGGUAAGCGGGUUCGACUCUCAACGAACCCAGCAGCUGACUUCUCUUGUGUCUUCUUCGAUAUGUGAAUUUCCAUGGCUUCUCUUUUUUGUUGUACCUGCAUUUGAUAAGCACCACCCUUCACUUCCAGAACUUGAUGAGCACCCCUCUUCACCUCCAAAAGGCCAAUACUAUGUUGGAAACUUGGAAUACCUUUGCCCAUUGAAACUUAUCUUUUAUCUCUUCCUCCUGACGCCGCACCCCGACCUACACCUUCGCCAAAUCACGACUUCGCCGUUUAGCCACCAAAUCGGACGCCAUCAGUUCCGUAGGGUUCGCACGGCCACCCCUUCCACAUCUGGGGUGGUGUCGCACAAUACGUUGCACCGGAGAAGAAGCUUUUGGACGGAGAAGUAGCUGGGUUCGUGCCUAGCCGGAGUUCGCGUUUUUCGGUGGAAACUGAUCAAGCACCAUUGUACCCAGAUUUUAAGGCUAGAAGGUGGAUUGGACAGAUUGGAGUUUGUUCUUGGCAACGUCUGAUUUUGGGCAAUUCCGGCCGAUUCCGGCCAAAUUGGGUCAACCCUUAAGUGAUUCAGGGAGUUCAGCUUGUGCUCGGCUUCGUGUGGAGUAAGACAUAGCGAGACUGUGAGGUGAGUAAAACUCACUUUGUUCAUGAAGGAAGCAAUAUUUAAUUUAUAGUUCAUUCUUUCUAAAUUGUAAAAGAUUGCGGUUAUUGAGACCUCCAGAUUUACUCAGUGUACCUCCAUGUCUUUUACACAUUCAUUUUAUUUUUAAAAACAAGCAUUUGCUCAUUAAACCUCUUUUCAAAUUCCUAAAAUAACCUUAAGUUUGUUAUUCAUAUAUAUUUCAAUAAUUUACUCAUUAUACUUUUUAUUCGCUCUUCAGACCUCUCACACUUUAAUUUUUCUUUUUCUUUUUGCAUGCAAACAUCUAUUUUAGGUCUCGAUUGCUUCAUUUCUUUUUUCUUCUUCUCUUUUUUCAUGAAAACCUCUUUCGCAACCUUAAUCCCUUGUUGUUUUUUUUUUGCAUAGAAUGUCAUUAACCUCUAUUAUUUGAUCAAGUUGUAAGAACGAUUUUUCAAUGACAACAAUUGAAAAAAAAAUAUUCAAAUCAUGAAUUGCAAUUGCAACGCAAUAAAAUACACAAAUUCCAAUAUAUGAAACAUUAUUCCAAGCAUCUAUUAAUAAAAAAAUUCUCAACAUAACGAAAAAAUAUUCUAAUGAUCUUCAAGUGUGACAGUCUCGGAAACUGUAGUAACUCUUUCUAGAUGGGGUAUUUGAGUAUAGAGAUGCAAACGAUUAAUAUAUCUACUGUAUAAUGAUUUUGCUUUGUCAUCAGCAUGGCGGUAUCAAUUUGGUGGAACCGGUGGUAAUGGACAUCCUGCUACCAACGAUUCCUAUUAAAAAAAGCAUAUGAUUAGUUUAGACUUUAUAACUAAGCAAAUGCAUAAAGAUGUAAUGAUAGUACUUACUUGCACAAAGUGAUUUCCAUUAACAAAACCAAUACCAAGUUCAGGCAGUUCUUGAUUUUGAAAUCUUCCAAUGAUGUGUUCCAUCAAAGGAAGAAAGGUCAGGCACUGUCCAUCAGAUAAGUUUAUAACAACAACUCCGUAACAAGUAGCAAUCAGAUGCCCCAUAUCAGUUAUACACAUCAAUUUUCUACGUGAUGCAGUGGAUCCAGAAUGGUGAAUUCUUUGUUUGAUUUUCUCAACACCGUCUUCGCUGCCGUAUAGUUCCCUGUACAAGUGAGGCAUACUUUUGAGCUCAUUCAUUAGGUCAAGUCGCACCCUUCUCUAAGAACGCCUACCGAAUCCCAUAAUGGAUGCUGCAACUCUAUAACCACAAUUACCAUCAUCUUCAACAUCAAAUGAACCUAAGAUGUAGGGCCUCAUGCCAAAAAUGAAUUGUGAUGUAUACUUUUGUGUUAACUCAAAUCGUGAAGUGUUUUGACUCAUGGAGAUAGGCUGCACAAAAAUCAAUAUGUAUUAGCUAUUUCAGUUGCAAUUAAAACUUUUACUAACUUAUCAUAUAUCACAAUUGAAAGACAUACUGGAUUUGUCUCUGGAUGCUUGUCUGAUUUUGCUGAAGACAAUACAACCGUAGGAGAAGCAUUAACCUUUUCUGAUAGUACUUAUGACUGAUUUUGAAUGAGACUAGCUUUAGCAAUCUCAAAAACAAAUGGUAGACGAUGAGUGCUACUGUCAAUCUUAGGACGCCCUUUGGUUUUAAUCUUCUCACUUGGUUGUUGAAGCAUUGUCGAACUUGGAGUUAUAAUCUCGUCUAUUUUCAACAAGACCUGUCUAUUUUCAACAAGACAUGUCUCCUCACGUUUUGUAUCGUUAACUUGAAGAAAAAAAAAGGAAGAAUACUAAUCUGAUUAUAAUUUAUUUUAUUUUUUUGGUGAAAUUCAAUGUCUAUUACUGUCAUUUUGUAUGAGGUUAUAUUUGUAAUUCAAUAAGUCAAAACAUGUGGAGGUACACUGAGCAAAUCUGGAGGUCCCAAUAGCCGCACUCUAUCAUUUUCUAGGAAAUGAAGUUUUGUUUUAAAAAUAAAUGAAUUUGAUCGACUACGGUUCAUGGGUAAGUAAAAUGAUUUUCUUUUAAAAACGAUUUUUAAGAGGUUUGCGAAUAUGAACUGUAAAUGGUAAUAUUGGUGAUUAUGGGCGAAUGCCUAUUAUGUGUAUAUUUGUGCCUGGUGAAAUAUGUGCCUUGCUUAAUGUGAUAUUGUGUGAGGAGUGAUGAUGGUUUGAUUUAUCUUUGGUUAUUGUGCGAAGAAUUGUUGGGUUGAAAUAUCAUAUAUCAUAUGUUGAUUGAUAUAUUAUUGUAUGGUUUGAGUCGAGUUGGAAUUCAUGUGUAACUUGGUGAUUGUUCCUGUGUGGCGGUUUUGAUCUUCCUUAGUGGCGAAAAGAUCUUUUCCUGUGUGACUGUUUAGAUCUUCCUUAGUGACGAAAAGAUUUUUCCCGGUUAGGAUGAAUUAGUUAGAGAUCUAGUCUGUCGUCGUGUGGCGUAUGGAGGAUGACAUUGGGUCAUUGUGCUCAUGUGUGUGUCCUUUAAAUUAGAACGAGAGUCUAUAUGCUUUUCUUCUAGUGUUAUUGGCCAAGAGACAUGAUUUUCUGGAGUUUAAAGUUGUGAGUUUACAAGAAUGAUUUUUGAUUUGAUUUUGAGUUGUCGGGUUUUCUUAUUUAUUUUCAUUGAACUCUCUUGGUUUUAGAACUAAGUUUUCAACGCAGGAUUUUCUGAUUUUCCCUUGAGUGAUUAUAUUUUUAGUUGUAUGUAUUCCAGUUUAAAUGUUGUUUUUUAUUAUUUCUCAACUUGUGGAAGUUAUGUGUAAUUGUUGUACGAGUCAUUUCAAUUUGAUUUACUCAUACGAGCUUUAAGCUAACCGGGUUUGUUGUUUUACAACCCGGUGCACAAACCAAUGGUGUAGUCGGUUAUUCCUACAUGUCAUGAUGAGCAGGAUUCAGUCAGAUUAUUAUGGGCAGAUUUAUUAGGUGAAAGAGUUGUGGUUAUUAUUUUGUUGGUUUGUAUAUGCUUUAGAGAGCGUUACAUUUUAUUUGAAUUAUCAAGUUUAAGUGAAACGAAAACAUGUAAUAUUUGACUCAAGGUAUGAGUCUAUUUUGACAUUUGAAAGUUGUUGGUCCUUGAGUUUAGUUGUUUGAGCUAAUGACAUGUAUUUUUUUGGGGUUAUUUAAGGGGUUAUUAUCAUGUCUCAUGCAACAAAAAUACACUUUUCGUCGCAUAAGGCUUUUCAUUGAGGCUAGUUUUAUUUGCUUUUUCCUUAUCCUCCUUGUUUCACUAUCAUCAUCAUCAUCAUCAUCUAUAGAAACAAAACUAUUAAACUGCAAAUUUAGCAAACAAUAAAUUUUCAUAUAUGCAUAAUUUGUUCAUACAUAGUCUUUACUCUUUAGUAACACCUUGAAUUGCAACUAAACAAAACCAUUCAUUCAUCCUAGCUUAGCUAGCCUAUCCUUCUCCAACUGAACAAAACCAACUGCACAAACCUUAAAGGCUUCUCCAUCUAGCUAGCCUACCCUUCUCCAACUAAAGAAAACCAACUGCACAACAACCUAACCUUAAAGGCUUCUCUAUCUAAACAAAACCAAUUGCACAAACCUUAAAGGCUUCUCCAUCUAGCUAGCCUACCCUUCUCCAACUAAAGAAAACCAACUACACAACAACCUAACCUUAAAGGCUUCUCCAUCUAAACAAAACCAACUGCACAACAACCUAAUUAACCAAAGGCUUCUCCAUCUAAACAACCAAAAUAUCCAAGCAUGCAGUGAUGUACCUAGCUAGUUCCUCUCAGCUGCAUUAACAUUUUCUUCUAGAGGUUGUUGGGAAGGGACUGGUGGAGGACACCCAGUCUGCUGUGCCAUAAAAGACAUCACCGCUGCUAGUUGCUGCUUCACCAAUGUCAUCUUUUCACUAACGUUUUGCGCAACCGCCUCAGCUUUUUCGGCCAUCUCCUCAGUAAUAUGUAAUCUCUCAUCCACCUCAUGAACUCGAGAAUGUGGAAUGGAAGAUAAUGACUGUCGGACACCUGCUCUUCCAAGACCACGGAUCUCUUUCUCGGCUCUUCUGCCGACUCCUGCUUCAAGCACCUUAAGAUUCAUUGACCACUCCAAAGGUGGGAGCUCAGCCUCCGGGAUGUCAGGGUUUGCAUUCUUCUGUGCAUUUUUCAAUUCAGUGGCCUCUUUCUGCAUUUCCUUUUGCAGAUAAGAGAUAAGAGAUAAGCUUGUAAUUAGAUUUGGAAUUUAAAUUCAUAUUGCAGUUGAAAAGCAGUUAAGGGUUUGAUAAGCAGUGAAAGAAAAUAAGUUGGAGAAUGAUGGAACUGUUAUGAAUCUGCUACAUAUUGCAAGCAUGUAAAUAUACUAAAUGAAGAAUUGAACUUAGAAACAACAAUGUUUUGCAGAACAUAACAAUAGUGCUUGUGUUAUGAAACUUAGCAGGAUAUACAGCUUCAUCUAAAAGGGAAGCAACUAGCUGAUCUACUUAAUCAUCAUCGCUUUGAAUCUAUCAAAUUCUCACAUGCAUGCAUGAUUUGUUAGAGUGAUCCAAAUGCGUGGGAGUAGCUGAAUGAGUGUUUGUUAACUUGGGAAUUUGGGGAGCUGGAGUUGAAGCUAGUUGCCUCCCCUUGAGAGAGAAAUGGAAACUUAAGCCCUCGUAAAGUUUAGAAACCAUUUUCCUGAUCAAUGCAGAGAAGAAUCUUUCUAGCUAGAAGAGGAUCAAUAAUAUUAUUAUUCACAUAUAUAUGCAUCAUAUUUCAUGGCAGGACUACUAGACAAGACUGUCAAUAAGAGUAUGGCUUGAGAUAUUGGUUGAGGUGAGCAUAUAUUCCUCUCUUUACUAGUUUACUUUACUAGUGAUAUGAAACUUAGCAUAACAAAGUCACAUUCACAAUACGAAACACAAAUGCCUCUGCACCAACUGAAAAUUAUUUAAUUGCACAAACUGAAAAUUAUUUGCACAAUAUAUGUAAGCUAUUUGCACCAGAUUUAAUUAACUUACAAGAUUCUUGACAGCUUUAGGGUCGUUGACUGUGUCAUACGUCUCUGUGUAAGUUGGGAUAACAGGAAAUUUCUCACCAUUCUCUUUGUGGUGGACCACCCUGUAGAUGAUAGGUAGCUGCCCCGUGUGGUGCUCCGACUCCUUCUUACCACAGUUGGUUUUGUUAGCCACCAAUCGUGUCUGCCAAUCACAUAGUAUGUAGUUCAUAUUAAUGGCAGUUUCUCUUGGCCAUUAACAAUGCCAUUAACAAUAGAUAUUAGGAAAUAAAGCAAUUGAGCUAAGGAAAAAUAAUUAUGCUAUUGGAUUAAAGUGAGCAAUAUAACCCCACAUAACAAGCAUAGUUGUGUUGUGGAUUACAAGCUGAUAAGUUGAGCAGUAUCAAUGCAAGCAAUCAAAGCUAAAGCAGUCAGGUCGAGAUAACAAUAGUAACAUUUUAUUAGUUUUUGAGAGAUCCUUUUUGGCAAGACCUAUAUCCAAUUCUAUACAUACAUCCAAUACAGAGAGGACAGACUUAUCACAAAGAAUUGUAAAAACUAGCAAAUAAUCAGAUAAAGGGAAUUUCUAGGCAGUUUUCAAAUCAACCAAACAACUUUGAUACCAAUAGUCGUCGAACUGAUAGUUAACUGAAGAAAAAGAAAAGGAGGACAAAUUAUAAGCUUGGUCUUGGUACCACUAACAGAAAAAUUUUGUUCUUCUACAAUGACAUUGGCUAUGGAAAAAGUUUCCAAUAGCACAAGCUUGGAAUAUCGAACAACUUGCUUGUUGAUAAGGAAGAUGCAUCAAAUGGCACGAAGAAAAUAACUAGAGAAGGUACCAACAUAUUGCAUGCCAAAGUGAUCAAUCAGUAGUCAAGCAGCUCGAAGAAAAAUCAUUUUACAGAGGCUCCACCAAACACUUAGGCAUAAUUGAGAAUUAGAGAACUGGGAAACAAUUCAGAAACUUAUGGAGACCAUUAGAUCAUAAAUCAAGCACAGGCAUAAAUAAAACUAAUUAAACACACAAACUCUCAUGCGUAUGCACUGAAACAAAACAAACACCAAAGAAUAGAGAAUAUAUAUGCACAGCACCAAAGUAGGAACAGAGAGAAGAGAACAACUACAACAAAUAUUCAAUCAGAAUUCAAUUCACAUGACAAAACCUAUGGGGAAUAAGCACUCCGUCUAUUUUGGCAUACUCAAGCCUUGAUCUACAAUUUAAUCAUAACUGUAUCUUAACUCUUAAGACAGUAAAAUGUUGUAACAAACAAGAAGAAAAGAUAUGGAAAUGCAGAUAUGGACAUUAUAAAAAGGGGGAUUUUCAUAUACACUCAAUUUUGAAGAGUGGUUUUAAAUAAAACCCACCUAAUAUUUCUAUUUAAUAGACAUCUAAAAUGUAUCAAUUAUGAUACAUAUUAUGUCUUAUUUUUUCUAAAUUUUACACAAUUGCCACCAUUCAACUAUAACAUAUAAACAUAAUAAAUAAGUUUAAUUGAUGCUGUCUUAAAUACCUUCAUUAUGAGUUUUUCUUCUAACACUAAAAUUUUUCAAUCAAUUUACAAGAAUCAUGUAGUUUUUAUUUUUUAUGAAAAAAUCUAGGUGAAAUGAAUUCAUUAUCUGAUCUAUAAAUAAGGUAGAAUAUAAUAUAAAUAAGAUAUUUGAUUAUUAUAGUAAAAUGAAGAAAUUUUACAUUGUUAGCGUAUGAACAUGUGAAAUCUGACGUGAUCCUCUAUUCUAUUCAAAUUUUGACAUGUGGAUUUCUAUGAUGAAAAACCAUUUUAGCUAUUUUGAUCUUUAAACCCUAAACCCUAAACCCUAUACCCUAAACCCAAUACCCUAUACCCUAUACCCUAACCCUAUACCCUAACCCUAUACCUUAACCCUAUACCCUAAACCCAAUUUUGGGUUUCUUCAUUUUAGCUAUAUUAUCAUAUCAUGCCCUACUUAAUAGGUACAUUAGAAAUGUAUGUAGUUGAGAGUAAAAUGUUCUCUCGAUCAAGAUUGGAAAUGAUAUAAUAAUAUACCUAAAAAGAAGAAAAUUAAUCAAAGAACAAGAACGUGUACCUUACAAUUAGACAUUUUUCGACUAUGUAGAGAGACACCAAAUGUGAGCUUAUGUCACAUCCCGACCCUUAUAUUUUUACCUUAUUUACUAGCUUGAUUAUAAUAAGAAUUUUAUAAUCAUUGAGUUAAUGGUUUAAUUGGUCCCUAGAGGGGUUUUGAGGGAUGAUUAUUUCGGAGAAUUAUUCGUGGAAAAAAAAAAAAUUUGACGACGGUAAAAAUGGUAAAUUUUAGCUAGUAAAAGGUAAUUUUUAUUCGGGUAUUAUUUUUUUCGGGGUGUUUUAUUUUGGAUUUGGGUUGUAUAAGAGUGUUGGACCGGGCCAAGAGGUGGUCAAAGCCCAGCCCUCUCUUUUCCCUUUCUCUUCUCUCCCUCCCGGCCUCAUUCCCGAGCUCUCCCGACCUGGAAACUUUCCGGCCGCCGUCCGCCGCCGUCCGGCCGAGAUAGGAGGCGUGCUUGGUGUUGAUUUGAAGCUUGGAGCAUCCUCUACAAGUUUAGAUAGGUGGCAGCCCGUGUCGCGCCACCGUGAAGGAGAAAUCAUGCCGAAAAGCCGCUGCUGUGCGUGGCGGGGUUUUCGCCGGAAAAUCCCUUUUCCGGCCACCAUAGCCGGAGCUGUUGGUAUCAUUUGGACGCUCUCUCUUCCAGCAGCAAACCCCUAAAAGGAUUCAUCCUAACUUGAGCUAAGUAAGGAGAAUCGGGUGUUUGAAUUUCCUAGGGUUUUCUUGAUAUGUUUGGUUUCGAUUGCCCUAUUUAGGCUUGAAUUUGGACUUAGUGAUAGUUAUGAAAGUUGUUUGGGAUGUUGAGAGGAAGAUGCUGUUAAAUUUUCAUAGGAAUUGGAGGUCGCCGGAAUUGGCCUCCGGCCGCCGCUGUUUGGAAGAUUUUUAGGGUUUUAAAUUUAGAAUAUUAAGGGGAGUUUGUUGAAGUGAGUUAUGGAAUUUUUGGAUGAGUUUUGGAUAGGUUUAUGAAUUUCUGAAGUGUGGUUUUUGGCGGUUAAUUAAUGUAGAAUCCGGCCGUAGGAUUUAAGUCGUAUUUUUGGGGAGGUUGUAAUUACGGCUGCUGAGUAUGAUAUUUAAGUUCGGAUCGUUUCGAUUUAAGAAUAUCGAAGUUAGGCAAUGAUGAGCGUAGUUAUGGCUCUCGGUUAAUUUUGCAUAUUUUGUUUAAAUAUUGGAGUUUUAGUUGGGAAAUUAAUUUUAUAUUUGUGCCAGGGUUCGAGGAACCUCUCUGGAGUGGCGAUUUGGAUUUUGUCGGGCUUAUGCCUAGAGUUGUGAGUGGACGUUUAUUUUAAAUAAAUGCAUGCUAUAGUUCAUGGUUGAACAAUUAAUGUUGCGGAAUAUUUUAACGUCAUUUUAAUUUGACGAUUUUUAUUUUCUCUUGGAGAGUUACCAAAAAUGGGAUUUUCGAUGGAUAUAAAUAUGUAUUUAUGAGAGAGUAUGUAUAUAAAUGCUAGCUAGCCCUAUGUGUCUGUCCACCUUAAUGGCGUAGCAUAUAGCCGCAUUAUGGUGUGACGUGAGCGUUGGACGCGAGCGUAGUAGCCCUAUAUGAGUGUCUAAUUCAUAUAGGGGGUAUGGACACAUAUUUAUACACCCGUCUGUCCACCUUAAUGGCGUAGUGUAGCACCGCAUUAAGGCGUGACGUGAGCGUUGGACGCGAGUGUAGUAGCCCUACAUAGACCCAUGAAUUUAUAUAGGGAGUAUGGACGUGUGUAAAUACAUACAUAUAUUAUAGAGCCUGAGAGGCUCGACAUUUAUGAGAUAAAAGUUUUAUCGCUUGCAGCAUGCAUUCGAUUUUUCUUGGAAAUUGAUUUAGGGAAACAUAAAUAUUUUUAUUCGUUAGUUUGUUUUUGUCCACUCACUCUAACGUGUUUCAAAUGUUUUCCUCUGGGCUCUUCGUUUUAAAAAUGCCCAGUUUGCAGGAUUGCAUAGUUGAGGUCGGGCGUACAUGGGGAUGAGGCAUAGUCAUCAUAUAGCUUCCGCUUGUUAAUUUGUUAUGUUUCCUUUCUUCCUGUUAGAGUUGCUCUGAACCUAUAAAUGGUUGGAUAUGAGAUUUGUUUAGAUUAGUAAAUAAUUUGGGUGGUGUUGUGAUUUGGGGAGCACGGAGGCUCCAGGAGUUUAAGGUUGGAUUUAAAUUUUCAGAAGUGUUUGCAGGUAUUAUUAGGAAGGGUUGUCCAUUUUCAAGGGAGGUUAUGCCGAUUUUUCGGUAAAUUUUCCUUGGAGGUGGUCCCCGCUCGACUUACUCUGGGUUUCAGGGUGAAAUUUGGGGUGGGUCGUGUCAGCUUAUGAAUGAAAAAAAUCAUUCUAUUACAAAUGACAUACUUUUGUAUAUAACAUAUAUAUACACUUAAGUUAGUAAUAACAAGGUAAGAAAUUAAAGAAUGUAAUUGAUUAUGACAAAGUUAAAUCAAACUAAAUUUUAGCUCAGUAUUUGAGUUUCAAAUUGAUGCUAAAAUUGAGAAAGAUACCAAAUUUAGAUUUCUACUGUCUGAAGGGCAAAUCAGAGAAACCGAAAAAUGAAUAAAACUAUUAAUUAUAGACAUUUGCUCUGUAUGGUAAGUUUGCUUAUGUGGAGUGGGUGUAAAAUGAAAGAAAAAUAUGCAUGGGUUUAUCUUAAAAGAGGUCUAGUAUUUUGAAUUUUUAUCUAAUUUUCUCUUAUAAAAAUUAUGCAUAUAUCAGAAAACACAUUCAGUAAUCACAAGACAAUCUAAUUCAAUUCUGCCUCAACCUUUAUGUUAAAUUUGAUUGUUGCAUAUAAGAAUUGAGAUCGUAUGUCCUGGAUCCCGAUCAGAGGGAGUCCAUUCCCUUUUUUGGUUUCCACAGUAUUUUAUCCUUGACAACUAAACACGUAAUAAGAUGAGAAAUCCUUGACAACUAAUGCCAAUCCUAUAUAUAUUUUCCUUUAAAGUGCAUUUAUUAUUACUUUUACUCGAAUUGUGACUACAUAGUAAAUUGAUACACAUAAUCUUUGACACAACAAGAUAUUUGACAACCUCAGCUAAUUGUAUAGUAGAGUUUCAAAACUGAAACUUGGUAAAGGGAAUGCUAAUCUCAAUGACAUCUCACUCUAUGUAUUUUGUAUUCAUCAACAAAACACCUGGGAAGGGUUAAAGCUGUUCUGACCAUCCUGCACCUAAGCCAAAAAAAAAAAAUAUGGAGAAGAAACAAACACACCGAAAAAUGGUUUGAUACCCAUAUUUCGACUCUAACUACAUGGAACAAUGCAAGUCAACAGAGGCACAAAAUUUAAAUGCAUUAAAACAAAUUGAUCAUCCAACCAAGUGAAAACAAAGCAUAACAAGGAAACAACAAAGAAUACAUACAUGAAGAAGUAAAUGGAAUUUAUCAUGAACGUAUUAGUAGCAACAUGAGAGUUGGGAUAUCCCAGGAUUCCAGGAACCUUACUAAAGUCAGAAAUGACUGUUAGAAUAGAGUAUCAAAACCACAAUUUAGAAAAGAGAAUGCUAAUAUUCUUUUAUUGUUCAUGUGAAUUGGUAUCAAUUUGAUAGCACUUUUGCUGUUCAAGAAGAGUUUCUUAUAUAUAUAUAUUUAAGUUGUUGCUCACUUGCUCCAGUAGGUUACAUUUAGUAGAUAUUUGAAUAAGCACCAAUAAAUAGGAACAACUCCCACCAUUAUCCAAAUUGAAAUAUUCUAGCCAUAUAAAUAUCAAAGUGGCAGCAACAUUAAAUUUACCUUGAAAUCAGGCGACUCAAAAUGCCAGCAAAACCAGUCCCACUCAUCUUGCUUGUGUAUCAAAUCAAACGGAAUUGUUUCUCUCCCAUACUUCUUAUAGUGUCUUGAAAGGUUCCCUUUCCAAUUUCGAUAUAUGGUACCCGCCUUAUCUUCAAGCCACGCCCACAUCCGUUUAUCCCCAAAGUCAAUUUUAAAAUACGGCUACAACACAAACAACUCCUCAUCAUACUACAAAUUGAAAUAAUGAAGAAGCUAAACAGUCUGAAAAAUAAUGGCUAAAUUGCUUCACAGAUGACCAGCUGCAUUAAUAAAAUUUAAACAGU